This 492-nucleotide ribosomal RNA is filed under the name uncultured bacterium. RNAcentral describes it as "partial 16S ribosomal RNA". It matches the Rfam family "Bacterial small subunit ribosomal RNA", at positions 29 to 507 of the family's 1533-position model. The record is from RNAcentral.
ACGAACGCUGGCGGCGUGCUUAACACAUGCAAGUCGAACGGUGAAGCGCCUUCCUUUUGGUGGGUGUGGAUGAGUGGCGAACGGGUGAGUAACACGUGAGUAACCUGCCCCCUUCUUCUGGAUAACCGCAUGAAAGUGUGGCUAAUACGGGAUAUUCUGGGUCUGUCGCAUGAUGGGUCUGGGAAAGAUAUUGUUUCGGUGGGGGAUGGGCUCGCGGCCUAUCAGCUUGUUGGUGGGGUGAUGGCCUACCAAGGCGGUGACGGGUAGCCGGCCUGAGAGGGUGGACGGUCACACUGGGACUGAGACACGGCCCAGACUCCUACGGGAGGCAGCAGUGGGGAAUAGUGCACAAUGGGCGCAAGCCUGAUGCAGCGACGCCGCGUGAGGGAUGGAGGCCUGCGGGUUGUGAACCUCUUUCGCCAGUGAAGCAGGCCUGCCUCGUUUGUGGGUGGGUUGACGGUAGCUGGAUAAGAAGCGCCGGCUAACUACGUG